GAGUUUGAUCCUGGYUCAKAACGAACGCUGGCGGCGUGCCUAACACAUGCAAGUCGAACGGAAUGAAKGGGCUUGCUCCUUCWUUUAGUGGCGCACGGGUGAGUAACGCGUAGAUAAUCUGCCUGACGAUCUGGGAUAACACKUCGAAAGAGGUGCUAAUACCGGAUAAGCCCACGGGGUCUUUGGACUCUGCGGGAAAAGGGGGGGACCUUUUGGCCUUCUGUCGUCAGAUGAGUCUGCGUACCAUUAGCUAGUUGGUAGGGUAAUGGCCUACCAAGGCUACGAUGGUUAGCUGGWCUGAGAGGAUGAUCAGCCMCACUGGAACUGAGACACGGUCCAGACUCCUACGGGAGGCAGCAGUGGGGAAUUUUGCGCAAUGGGCGAAAGCCUGACGCAGCAACGCCGCGUGCGUGAUGAAGGCUUUCGGGUCGUAAAGCUCUGUCGAGGGGAAAGAAGUGUAUUGCGGUUAAUACCCGCUUUACUUGACGGUACCCCUAAAGGAAGCACCGGCUAACUCCGUGCCAGCAGCCUCGGUAAUAC
RNAcentral lists this ribosomal RNA (540 nucleotides) under uncultured Geobacteraceae bacterium. Its description in RNAcentral is "bacterial SSU rRNA". It matches the Rfam family "Bacterial small subunit ribosomal RNA", at positions 9 to 526 of the family's 1533-position model. The record is from RNAcentral. Lineage: Bacteria; Pseudomonadati; Thermodesulfobacteriota; Desulfuromonadia; Geobacterales; Geobacteraceae.